GUGCUUGCUUCGGCAGCACAUAUAUUAAGAUUGGAAGGAUACAGAGAAGAUUGCAAGGCCCCUGCUCAAGGAUGAGAUGCAAAUCCGUGAAGCAUUGCAUAUUUUN
This 106-nucleotide small nuclear RNA is filed under the name Sorex araneus (European shrew). The record is from RNAcentral. Lineage: Eukaryota; Metazoa; Chordata; Mammalia; Eulipotyphla; Soricidae.